AUACAACGCUAAACGCAUUAAAUUGCACGUGUAAAAUAAUUUAUUACAGGUGUAUUACACAAUGUGUAAUAUCAACUUGUCACUUGUGACGACUUUUUUAAUACAAUGUAUAAUAUGGUGUAUUACACAAUGUAUAAUAUGGCGAUGAUCAGUAGUUGGUCUGAGAGGAUGAUCAGCCACACUGGGACUGAGACACAGCCCAGACUUCUACGGGAGGCAGUAGUGGGGAAUUUUUCGCAAUGGGUGAAAGCCUAACAGAGCAAACCCGCAUGGAGGUAGAAAGCCCAUGGGUCGUGAACUUCUUUGUAUCUGGGGAAUAAGUAUCGGCUAACUCUGUGCUAGCAACCGCGGUAAUACACUAUGUGUGUAU
RNAcentral lists this non-coding RNA (370 nucleotides) under Helianthus annuus (common sunflower). RNAcentral describes it as "sRNA HanXRQr2_Chr15g0681301". It matches the Rfam family "Bacterial small subunit ribosomal RNA", at positions 126 to 536 of the family's 1533-position model. Lineage: Eukaryota; Viridiplantae; Streptophyta; Magnoliopsida; Asterales; Asteraceae. The record is from Rfam by way of RNAcentral.